This 72-nucleotide transfer RNA is filed under the name Actinoplanes derwentensis. RNAcentral describes it as "tRNA-Arg". Lineage: Bacteria; Bacillati; Actinomycetota; Actinomycetes; Micromonosporales; Micromonosporaceae. The record is from RNAcentral.
GGACAUCCGGCACGCGUUCGCCGCGCUGAGCCGCUUCGGUCUGCUCGAUGUCGUGCAAAUCGACGGUGGCCC